GACGAACGCUGGCGGCGUGCUUAACACAUGCAAGUCGAACGAAGUGGCGAACGGGUGAGUAAUACGUGAGUAACCUGCACUCCUUUUUGGGAUAAGCCUUGGAAACGGGGUCUAAUACCGAAUAAAGGGGGAUGGGCUCGCGGCCUAUCAGCUUGUUGGGGGGGUGAUGGCCUACCAAGGGGUUGAAGGGUAGCCGGCCUGAGGGGGUGAACGGCCACAUUUGGACUGAGAUACGGCCCAGACUCCUACGGGAGGCAGACGUGGGGGAUAUUGCACAAUGGGCGAAAGCCUGAUGCAGCGACGCCGCGUGGGGGAUGAAGGCUUUCGGGUUGUAAACCUCUUUUGCUCUCGAACGGGUAGGUGGAGAAGAAGCGCCGGCUAACUACGUGCCAGCAGCCGCGGUAAUAC
RNAcentral lists this ribosomal RNA (408 nucleotides) under uncultured bacterium. RNAcentral describes it as "partial 16S ribosomal RNA". It matches the Rfam family "Bacterial small subunit ribosomal RNA", at positions 28 to 526 of the family's 1533-position model. The record is from RNAcentral.